GGAUAUAGCGCAGUGGUCAGAGUGUUGGACUCGUAAUUUGAAGGCCCGUGUUCGAAUCAUGUACUUUUAACU
Rhamnusium bicolor is the source of this 72-nucleotide non-coding RNA. NCBI's taxonomy places the organism in Eukaryota, Metazoa, Arthropoda, Insecta, Coleoptera, Cerambycidae. The record is from the annotation of a GenBank genome assembly.